Episyrphus balteatus (marmalade hoverfly) is the source of this 604-nucleotide long non-coding RNA. RefSeq lists it as uncharacterized. The transcript is spliced from 3 exons. The record is from RefSeq and is a predicted model, not a curated record. Lineage: Eukaryota; Metazoa; Arthropoda; Insecta; Diptera; Syrphidae.
UAGGGAAGAUUACAGUUUAUUAAAAGAUUAUACUUGAAGAUAAACUUUGUCAAGCCAAAUAGGGAAUAAAUUGAAGAUUUGUUUAAAUCAAGCUAUGGAUUACCAUAUUUUUAAAGCAAAAAAUUAAUGAAACCAAAUGCGUAAAAUGGGAACUUUUAAAAAGGACUUUAUUUCAAAUCUAAGGUUCUUCUAUGGUAAAUAAGAAGAAUAAGCAUCAAUCUGUUUGCUAGGGACAUAAACGAUUAACUGCUAAUCGCAGUUUUCAAUGUACAAACUGGAGCAUUAGAAAGUGAAAAUAAGCUGAAAGAAAUCGUAAUUCUACACACUAAAAUACCUUCGUCAAGAUACAGCUUGUAGUUUGGACAAAUAUCUGAUCCGGUUGCUGAGUAAAUUGAUAGCAGCUGAGCUAAAGAUGCUUCGCAUGACAGCAGGAGUAACAAUACUUGACCGAAUUAGAAGCAUGAAAAUCUGAGGGAGACUUCACGUCAGAAAUACCUUCUUGGAUAAAAUUCAGCACAACUGACUUAGCUGGUACAGAUAAGAAACUUUGCAAACCAUUGAAAAAAAAAUUGAAAUUGUAACUAAAAGGGAAAAAAUCUAAUUA